UGCGCAGGUGGGGAUGUAAGUCAGUGGUGAAAUACUGCCGCUUAACGGUAGAAUUGCCAUUGAUACUGCAUCUCUUGAGUAUGGUUGAGGUAGGCGGAAUGUGUCGUGUAGCGGUGAAAUGCAUAGAUAUGACACAGAACGCCGAUUGCGAAGGCAGCUUACUAAGCCAUUACUGACGCUGAGGCACGAAAGCGUGGGGAGCGAACAGGAUUAGAUACCCUGGUAGUCC
Molecule: ribosomal RNA, 229 nt
Filed under: uncultured bacterium
Lineage: Bacteria
Description: partial 16S ribosomal RNA
Rfam family: Bacterial small subunit ribosomal RNA
Source: RNAcentral